Molecule: ribosomal RNA, 253 nt
Filed under: uncultured bacterium
Lineage: Bacteria
Description: partial 16S ribosomal RNA
Rfam family: Bacterial small subunit ribosomal RNA
Source: RNAcentral
UACGUAGGGUGCAGGCGUUAAUCGGAAUCACUGGGCUUAAAGCGUGUGUAGGCGGAUCGUUAAGUACCUUGUGAAAUCCCACGGCUCAACCGUGGAACUGCUGGGUAUACUGGCGGUCUUGAGCCACCUAGGGGCGAGCGGAACAAGCGGUGGAGCGGUGAAAUGCGUAGAUAUCGCUUGGAACGCCGACGGUGAAAACAGCUCGCUGGGGGUGUGCUGACGCUGAGACACGAAAGCCAGGGGAGCGAACGGG